RNAcentral lists this ribosomal RNA (600 nucleotides) under bacterium Co.S13. Its description in RNAcentral is "bacterial SSU rRNA". It matches the Rfam family "Bacterial small subunit ribosomal RNA", at positions 804 to 1402 of the family's 1533-position model. The record is from RNAcentral.
AAACGUUGGGCGCUAGAUGUAGGGACCUUUCCACGGUUUCUGUGUCGUAGCUAACGCAUUAAGCGCCCCGCCUGGGGAGUACGGCCGCAAGGCUAAAACUCAAAGGAAUUGACGGGGGCCCGCACAAGCGGCGGAGCAUGCGGAUUAAUUCGAUGCAACGCGAAGAACCUUACCAAGGCUUGACAUACACCGGAAACGGCCAGAGAUGGUCGCCCCCUUGUGGUCGGUGUACAGGUGGUGCAUGGUUGUCGUCAGCUCGUGUCGUGAGAUGUUGGGUUAAGUCCCGCAACGAGCGCAACCCUCGUUCUAUGUUGCCAGCGCGUUAUGGCGGGGACUCAUAGGAGACUGCCGGGGUCAACUCGGAGGAAGGUGGGGAUGACGUCAAAUCAUCAUGCCCCUUAUGUCUUGGGCUUCACGCAUGCUACAAUGGCCGGUACAAAGGGCUGCGAUACCGUAAGGUGGAGCGAAUCCCAAAAAGCCGGUCUCAGUUCGGAUUGAGGUCUGCAACUCGACCUCAUGAAGUCGGAGUCGCUAGUAAUCGCAGAUCAGCAACGCUGCGGUGAAUACGUUCCCGGGCCUUGUACACACCGCCCGUCAAGU